CACGGGGGGAGCAAGCGUUGCUCGGAAUCACUGGGCGUAAAGGGCGCGUAGGCGGCCAUUCAAGUCGGAGGUGAAAGCCCAGGGCUCAACCCUGGAAUUGCCUUCGAUACUGUCUGGCUAGAGACCGGAAGAGGUAAGUGGAACUGCGAGUGUAGAGGUGAAAUUCGUAGAUAUUCGCAAGAACACCAGUGGCGAAGGCGGCUUACUGGUCCGGUUCUGACGCUGAGGCGCGAAAGCGUGGGGAGCAAACAGG
RNAcentral lists this ribosomal RNA (253 nucleotides) under uncultured bacterium. Its description in RNAcentral is "partial 16S ribosomal RNA". It matches the Rfam family "Bacterial small subunit ribosomal RNA", at positions 524 to 776 of the family's 1533-position model. The record is from RNAcentral.